UACGGAGGGGGCUAGCGUUGUUCGGAAUUACUGGGCGUAAAGCGCGCGUAGGCGGUUUUUUAAGUCAGAGGUGAAAGCCCAGUGCUCAACACUGGAACUGCCUUUGAAACUGGAAAACUUGAAUCUUGGAGAGGUCAGUGGAAUUCCGAGUGUAGAGGUGAAAUUCGUAGAUAUUCGGAAGAACACCAGUGGCGAAGGCGACUGACUGGACAAGUAUUGACGCUGAGGUGCGAAAGCGUGGGGAGCAAACAGG
RNAcentral lists this ribosomal RNA (253 nucleotides) under uncultured prokaryote. RNAcentral describes it as "partial 16S ribosomal RNA". It matches the Rfam family "Bacterial small subunit ribosomal RNA", at positions 524 to 776 of the family's 1533-position model. The record is from RNAcentral.